Molecule: ribosomal RNA, 435 nt
Filed under: uncultured bacterium
Lineage: Bacteria
Description: bacterial SSU rRNA
Rfam family: Bacterial small subunit ribosomal RNA
Source: RNAcentral
GACGAACGCUGGCGGCGCGCCUAACACAUGCAAGUCGAACGAGAGAUGAGGAGCUUGCUCUUCAAAUCGAGUGGCGAACGGGUGAGUAACGCGUGAGGAACCUGCCUCAAAGAGGGGGACAACAGUUGGAAACGACUGCUAAUACCGCAUAAGCCCACGGCUCGGCAUCGAGCAGGGGGAAAAGGAGCAAUCCGCUUUGAGAUGGCCUCGCGUCCGAUUAGCUAGUUGGCGAGGUAAUGGCCCACCAAGGCGACGAUCGGUAGCCGGACUGAGAGGUUGAACGGCCACAUUGGGACUGAGACACGGCCCAGACUCCUACGGGAGGCAGCAGUGGGGAAUAUUGCACAAUGGGGGAAACCCUGAUGCAGCGACGCCGCGUGGAGGAAGAAGGUCUUCGGAUUGUAAACUCCUGUUGUUGAGGAAGAUAAUGACGGU